GAUGAACGCUAGCGGGAGGCCUAACACAUGCCAGCCGAGCGGUAUUGUUUCUUCGGACAUGAGAGAGCGGCGUACGGGUGCGUAACACGUGUGCAACCUGCCUUUAUCUGGGGGAUAGCCUUUCGAAAGGAAGAUUAAUACUCCAUAAUAUAUUGAACGGCAUCGUUUAAUAUUGAAAGCUCCGGCGGAUAGAGAUGGGCACGCGCAAGAUUAGCUAGUUGGUGAGGUAACGGCUCACCAAGGCGAUGAUCUUUAGGGGGCCUGAGAGGGUGAUCCCCCACACUGGUACUGAGACACGGACCAGACUCCUACGGGAGGCAGCAGUGAGGAAUAUUGGUCAAUGGGUGCAAGCCUGAACCAGCCAUCCCGCGUGAAGGACGACUGCCCUAUGGGUUGUAAACUUCUUUUGUAUAGGGAUAAACCUACCCUCGAGAGGGUAGCUGAAGGUACUAUACGAAUAAGCACCGGCUAACUCCGUG
This 479-nucleotide ribosomal RNA is filed under the name uncultured bacterium. RNAcentral's name for it is "partial 16S ribosomal RNA". It matches the Rfam family "Bacterial small subunit ribosomal RNA", at positions 28 to 507 of the family's 1533-position model. The record is from RNAcentral.